Nomascus leucogenys (northern white-cheeked gibbon) is the source of this 2354-nucleotide RNA transcript. It is a transcript of the gene named mediator of RNA polymerase II transcription subunit 15-like, with no coding region annotated. The record is from RefSeq and is a predicted model, not a curated record. The transcript is spliced from 17 exons. Lineage: Eukaryota; Metazoa; Chordata; Mammalia; Primates; Hylobatidae.
AUGGUCACCAAUGUGGUUUGUUGCAGACUUCCGCCCAGCCCCACACCGCAGCCUUCCCAGCACCCAGAAACAGCACAAACCCCACAGAACUCCAGUGUCCCCUCCCCUAGGCCUUUACACACACCUGGUAAUGACCCCAGCUCUGUCAUGAGUCCAGCUGGCUCCAGCCAGGCGAGAAGCAGCUAUACCGGGACACGCUGAAGCAGCUGUCCAAGCGCAUCAAGCCCCUGCACCGCGUGGUUAACAAGAUCGAGAAGAAUGAAGAAAAAGGGCUGAGCAAGAUGAAGAGCCUUCUGGACAUUGUGACAGACCACUCCAAGCAGUCCCUGAAGACCUUGCCAAAGUGUGACAUCACCCUGGAGAAACUCAAGAAUGACAUGGCGGUUCCUACCUCCAGCCCACUGCCCCUGGUGCCGCCAACCAAACAGCAGUACCUAUGCCAGCAGCUCCUGGAUGCUGUCCUGGCCAACAUCCACUCACCCUCUUCAACCAUUCCCUGUACCGCACAUUUGCUCCAGCCAUGACUGCCAUCCACGACCCACUCAUCACGUCCGUGGUGGUAUGCACCCAGAAGCACAGGCAUGAGGACGACCAGUGGCAGAGCAUCCCCAGCAUGCUCCAGGGCUUGGUGGCCAGGCUGGACCCCAAGUGCAUGAUAAACCUGGACCCUUCUCCCUGCAGCAACAAUGGCACCGUCCACCUGAUCUGCAAGGUGGACGACAAGGACCUCCCAAGUGUGCCACCAUGUGCCCACCGACUACCCUACCCAGAGUCCACUGUGGAUGGACCGGCAGUGGCUGUACAGCACCAACCCCUUCCUCAGGUCGGUGCACCACUGCGUGACCUCCAGGCAGCCGCAGCUCCCGGACAAGCACUCGGUUACCACCUUGCUCAACACCUGUGCCCGGAGCAUCCACAAGGCCUGCCUCUCGGCUGCCUAGCCAGGACUGCAGGGAUGGCCCACAGCCUCAUUGGGGCCAAGGACGCCUGCCUCCUGUCAGACAUUUCUAGGUGUUGGCAUCCAUGGAGAGCCUGGAGUUAGGGUCUUACAUUUAAAGAAAAAGUAACAAGCCUUAAAUUCAAAGAAAAACCUACAGACCUGGAGACAAGAAGCUCUCACAAGUGUAUUUUUACAUCUGCAAGAAAUUAGUCAUCAAAUGCUUAGUAGCACAGAAAUUCUCAAGUGGUUGCAGGAAAUUAUGAUCUGCAGGAAUAAAUUUCUUCUUUAAAAUAAGCAGACAGAUAGAAGUUCCUGUCACUUUCUCCUUUUUUAUGGAGUAGGAUGUGAUACUCCUUCUAGUGGAAAUACCAGUCAAAUGUCCAUGGGUCUUGAAGAGUCACUGCAAACUCCUAGAGACUCUCUCCAGAAGGGAAAAGGGAGCUCCUCUAUGGAUAGUGCAGCAGUAUGCACUGGAACCCCCCCGAUUUGCCAACAAGCGCAGACCAAACUAGAAGUGGCCCUGUACGUGUUUCUGCGGAACCCUGGCACUGAAGCUGUUCUGGUUGCCAUGUCCUGUUUCUGCCACCUCUGUGAGGAAGCAGAUACCCGGUGUGGGGUGGAUGAAGUGUCGGUGCAUAACCUCUUGCCCAACUCUAACACAUUCAUGGAGUUUGCCUGUCAGCAAUAUUAUGUCAACAGGCUUGGGAAGCUACACAUGCAAAAUGGGAACAAGCAACAAAACUAAUCCUUAGCUAUCCAAAAGCCCAAAUGGAAGAUGGCCAGGCUGUUGAAAGCUUCACAAGACCAUUGUUAAGAGGGGAAUGUCCCAUGUGAGUGGAGGAGGACCCAUAGAUUUAUCUGACACAGACUCCCUACAGGCAUGGAUCAACAUGACUGGCUUCCUUUGUGCCCUUGGGGGAGUGUGCCUCCAGCAGAGAAGUAAUUCUGGCCUGGCAACCUAUAGCCCACCCGUGGGUCCAGUCAGUGAACAUAAGAGUUCCAUGAUUUCCGUGAUGUCCUUGGAGGGAAAUGCAGAUACACCUGUCAGCAAAUAUAUGGAUCAGCUGUUGUCGUUAAUGGUGUGUAACCAUGAGAAAGUGGUACUUCAAAUAUGGACCAAUGAUAAGGACCUGGUGGGUCUAGAAUUGAGUCCUGCUCUUUAUCUGGUGCUAUUUAACAAAUUUAAGGAGACUAUCAGCAAGUUUUUUGACUCCCAAGGACAGGUUUUAUUGACUGAUACCAAUACUCAAUUUGUAGAGCAAACCCUAGCUAUAAUGAAGAACUUGCUAGAUAAUCAUACUGAAGGCAGCUCUGAACAUCUAGAGCAAUCUAGCAUUGAAACAAUGAUGUUAAAUAUGGUCAGGUAUGUUCAUGUGCUUGGGAAUAUGGUCCAUGCAAUUCAAAUAAAAACGAA